GUGAAGGUGGCUCAGUGGUAGAGUUCUUGCCUUACAUGCAUGAGGUCCUGAGUUCGAUUCCUCAGCACA
This is a non-coding RNA of Dipodomys ordii (Ord's kangaroo rat), 69 nucleotides long. Lineage: Eukaryota; Metazoa; Chordata; Mammalia; Rodentia; Heteromyidae. The record is from Rfam.